Molecule: non-coding RNA, 82 nt
Organism: Cladorrhinum samala
Lineage: Eukaryota; Fungi; Ascomycota; Sordariomycetes; Sordariales; Podosporaceae
Source: the annotation of a GenBank genome assembly
GCCCGGCUAGCGCAAUGGUAGCGCGUAAGACUUCUACUUACAAGUAAUCUUAAGGCUGUGGGUUCGAGUCCCACGUCGGGUG